Molecule: long non-coding RNA, 2478 nt
Organism: Cyprinus carpio carpio
Lineage: Eukaryota; Metazoa; Chordata; Actinopteri; Cypriniformes; Cyprinidae
Source: Ensembl
AGAAACUACUACCUUUGGCACAACUCCAGCAGAAACUACUACUCCAGGCACAAUGACUCAAACUGCUACUUGGCACCACCACUGCAGAAACCACUAUCAUUGGCACCACUUGUGUGAUAAAAACAACUAUGACAGAUACAGAUUCCUUAGAAUGUACCACCACUUGUACACAAACUACUCUACAGAAACUACUUCAGUAGAAACUACUACCUUUGGCACAACUCCUGCAAAAACUACUACUCCAGGCACAAUGACUCAAACUGCUACUUGGCACCACCACUGCAGAAACCACUAUCAUUGGCACCACUUGUGUGAUAAAAACAACUAUGACAGAUACAGAUUCCUUAGAAUGUACCACCACUUGUACACACACUACCCUGUAGAAACUACUUCUGUAGAAACUACUACCCUUGGCACAACUCCUGAAGAAACUACUACUCCGGGCGCAAUGUCUCAAACUGCCACUUGGCACCACUAUUGCAGAAACCACUAUCAUUGGCACCACUUGUGUGAUAAAAACAACUAUGACAGAUACAGAUUCCUUAGAAUGUACCACCACUUGUACACAAACUACUCUACAGAAACUACUUCAGUAGAAACUACUACCCUUGGCACAACUCCUGCAGAAACUACUACUCCAGGCACAAUGACUCAAACUGCUACUUGGCACCACCACUGCAGAAACCACUAUCAUUGGCACCACUUGUGUGAAAAAAACUAUGAUAGAUACAGAUUCCUUAGAAUGUACCACCACUUGUACACACACUACCCUGUAGAAACUACUUCUGUAGAAACUACUACCCUUGGCGCAACUCCUGCAGAAACUACUACUCCGGGCGCAAUGUCUCAAACUGCUACUUGGCACCACUAUUGCAGAAACCACUAUCAUUGGCACCACUUGUGUGAUAAAAACAACUAUGACAGAUACAGAUUCCUUAGAAUGUACCACCACUUGUACACAAACUACUCUACAGAAACUGCUUCUGUAGAAACUACUACCCUUGGCACAACUCCUGAAGAAACUACUACUCCGGGCACAAUGUCUCAAACUGCCACUUGGCAACACUAUUGCAGAAACCACCAUCAUUGGCACCACUUGUGUGAUAAAAACAACUAUGACAGAUACAGAUUCCUUAGAAUGUACCACCACUUGUACACAAACUACUCUACAGAAACUACUUCAGUAGAAACUACUACCCUUGGCACAACUCCUGCAGAAACUUCUACCCUUGGCACAACUCCUGCAGAAACUACUACUCCGGGCACAAUGUCUCAAACUGCCACUUGGCAACACUAUUGCAGAAACCACCAUCAUUGGCACCACUUGUGUGAUAAAAACAACUAUGACCGAUACAGAUUCCUUAGAAUGUACCACCACUUGAAUACACACUACCCUGUAGAAACAACUUCCAUAGAAACUACUACCUUUGGCACAACUCCUGCAAAAACUACUACUCCAGGCACAAUGACUCAAACUGCUACUUGGCACCACCACUGCAGAAACCGCUAUCAUUGGCACCACUUGUGUGAUAAAAACAACUAUGACAGAUACCGAUUCCUUAGAAUGUACCACCACUUAUACACACACUACUCUGUAGAAACUACUACCUUGGGAACCACUUCAAUAGAAACAACUACUCUGGGCACCACUUCUAUGUAAACUACUUGCCCUACUACCCGAUUCUUUAGAAUGUACUACCACUUGUACAUACACUAGUACUCUUGCAACCCCGUAGCAGAUAGUCCUACAGUUUCAUCACUGUAGAAAUAUCAGCAUUGGUUAAUUCAACAGUAAUAGUAUUGUAAACAUCCACACAUGUAAUGACAACUGCUGGAACAACAAUCUUUGCUAUAUCUAUGUCUGGCAUAUUGUCUGCCUUUGAAUCCUUAGUUGCUGAAAUAUAACACUUCUACAGAAAAUAUUACCCUUGGCGCACUUUUUGUGGAAAGUACUAUUCUGGCCACCACUUCUGGAGAAAGUACCAUCUUUGACUCCACUUCUCCAGAAACAACUACCCUUGGCGCCACCUUGACUGAAACACUGUUCUGAAACUCUGCAAAAUUCUGCAGUGAAUAAUCUUUGCUGCUGUUUACCUUGUGGCAACAGUGGAGGUUGCAGAUUUAAAGAUGUAUGGUGUAUGAAUGACCUGUAUGACUCUUUUAGUUGUAUCUGUGGAACAAGCAUACCAUUGAUCAUGCCACUUCUAACAAGAUAUACAAGAUGAGCAGAUUGUGGGCAAUGAGAUGAGGACAAGGUCUUGUGGUAUUCCCUAAAGACUGCUACUCUACUACAGAUACUGAUCUCUGCGCUCCUGCUUAGUAAAAUAGGAAUAUAAAUUAAUCAAUUUAAAGAUUUUCUUUUGACAAAUUGUAUAUUAAAAAUUAAUAUUUGCUGCAAUUGAUUUUUGAAAAUAUUUUAUGGUUUGUGUAAUGUAAAUGUCACUGUUAAAUGAAUAAAAGAAUUUCACUGAGGUGAUC